GAUGAACGCUGGCGGCGUGCCUAAUACAUGCAAGUCGAGCGAACAGACGAGGAGCUUGCUCCUCUGACGUUAGCGGCGGACGGGUGAGUAACACGUGGAUAACCUACCUAUAAGACUGGGAUAACUUCGGGAAACCGGAGCUAAUACCGGAUAAUAUAUUGAACCGCAUGGUUCAAUAGUGAAAGACGGUUUUGCUGUCACUUUUAGAUGGAUCCGCGCCGCAUUAGCUAGUUGGUAAGGUAACGGCUUACCAAGGCGACGAUGCGUAGCCGACCUGAGAGGGUGAUCGGCCACACUGGAACUGAGACACGGUCCAGACUCCUACGGGAGGCAGCAGUAGGGAAUCUUCCGCAAUGGGCGAAAGCUUGACGGAGCAACGCCGCGUGAGUGAUGAAGGUCUUCGGAUCGUAAAACUCUGUUAUUAGGGAAGAACAAAUGUGUAAGUAACUAUGCACGUCUUGACGGUACCUAAUCAGAAAGCCACGGCUAACUACGUG
Molecule: ribosomal RNA, 497 nt
Filed under: uncultured bacterium
Lineage: Bacteria
Description: partial 16S ribosomal RNA
Rfam family: Bacterial small subunit ribosomal RNA
Source: RNAcentral